AGUCUUCAGGGCGGGGUGUGAGUCCCCACCGGCGGUAAUCACAGACCGAUGCGUUGCUGUCGCAGCCGUUUUACGGUUGAGCAGACAGGAUGCGCAGUAUAGGUCAGUGCGAGCCCGCGAGCCGAAAGGCAGGAUUCCGGUGAGAUUCCGGAGCCGACGGUAUAGUCCGGAUGGAAGAAGAUG
RNAcentral lists this non-coding RNA (183 nucleotides) under uncultured Anaerobutyricum sp. RNAcentral describes it as "FMN riboswitch (RFN element)". It matches the Rfam family "FMN riboswitch aptamer (RFN element)". From Rfam's summary of the family: The RFN element is a highly conserved domain that is found frequently in the 5'-untranslated regions of prokaryotic mRNAs that encode for flavin mononucleotide (FMN) biosynthesis and transport proteins. This element is a metabolite-dependent riboswitch that directly binds FMN in the absence of proteins. The record is from RNAcentral. Lineage: Bacteria; Bacillati; Bacillota; Clostridia; Lachnospirales; Lachnospiraceae.